UACGUAGGGCGCAAGCGUUAUCCGGAAUUAUUGGGCGUAAAGAGCUCGUAGGCGGUUUGUCGCGUCUGCCGUGAAAGUCCGGGGCUCAACUCCGGAUCUGCGGUGGGUACGGGCAGACUAGAGUGCAGUAGGGGAGACUGGAAUUCCUGGUGUAGCGGUGAAAUGCGCAGAUAUCAGGAGGAACACCGGUGGCGAAGGCGGGUCUCUGGGCCGAUACUGACACUGAGGAGCGAAAGCGUGGGGAGCGAACAGG
Molecule: ribosomal RNA, 253 nt
Filed under: uncultured bacterium
Lineage: Bacteria
Description: partial 16S ribosomal RNA
Rfam family: Bacterial small subunit ribosomal RNA
Source: RNAcentral